Molecule: unclassified non-coding RNA, 498 nt
Filed under: uncultured Pseudoalteromonas sp.
Lineage: Bacteria; Pseudomonadati; Pseudomonadota; Gammaproteobacteria; Alteromonadales; Pseudoalteromonadaceae
Description: partial 16S-23S ribosomal RNA intergenic spacer
Rfam family: tRNA (bases 179-251)
Source: RNAcentral
CCUCCUUUCUAAGGAGAAUAACUGUGGUGGCAUAAGCCAUCACGAGGUCGAACCGGGAUGCUCGUCAUUCCGGCAGGGCUCGGACCUUAUUGUGCAAUUCAGUGUUCCGAGAACGGUGUUCUUUUGACAGGAUAGCUUUGCUCCGGGCGUACUCGUUCGGUGACAAGUAAGCUCAAAAGGGGCUGUAGCUCAGUUGGUAGAGCGCCUGCUUUGCAAGCAGGAUGUCAGGAGUUCGAGUCUCCUCAGCUCCACCAAUUACAACAACCGGUCGGGCCUGUAGCUCAGUUGGUUAGAGCGCGCCCCUGAUAAGGGCGAGGUCACUGGUUCAAAUCCAGUCAGGCCCCACCAUUGCUGAAUUUUUUAUCUGCCCAUGUUGGCAGGUAUGUUCUUUUGACAACUGGUAUGUAGUGAUAUUGCGAUAUAAAAACCCCAAUACGCUGAGAAAUUUAUUUGGGAUCAUUUUCAAAUUUAUUGAAAAUAACCCAAGUUCUUUUUGGG